RNAcentral lists this ribosomal RNA (904 nucleotides) under Epicoccum latusicollum. Its description in RNAcentral is "partial large subunit ribosomal RNA". It matches the Rfam family "Eukaryotic large subunit ribosomal RNA", at positions 42 to 964 of the family's 3401-position model. The record is from RNAcentral. Lineage: Eukaryota; Fungi; Ascomycota; Dothideomycetes; Pleosporales; Didymellaceae.
AUCAAUAAGCGGAGGAAAAGAAACCAACAGGGAUUGCCCUAGUAACGGCGAGUGAAGCGGCAACAGCUCAAAUUUGAAAUCUGGCGUCUUUGGCGUCCGAGUUGUAAUUUGCAGAGGGCGCUUUGGCAUUGGCAGCGGUCCAAGUUCCUUGGAACAGGACGUCACAGAGGGUGAGAAUCCCGUACGUGGUCGCUAGCCUUUACCGUGUAAAGCCCCUUCGACGAGUCGAGUUGUUUGGGAAUGCAGCUCUAAAUGGGAGGUAAAUUUCUUCUAAAGCUAAAUACUGGCCAGAGACCGAUAGCGCACAAGUAGAGUGAUCGAAAGAUGAAAAGCACUUUGGAAAGAGAGUUAAAAAGCACGUGAAAUUGUUGAAAGGGAAGCGCUUGCAGCCAGACUUGCCUGUAGUUGCUCAUCCGGGUUUUUACCCGGUGCACUCUUCUACGGGCAGGCCAGCAUCAGUUUGGGCGGUUGGAUAAAGGUCUCUGUCAUGUACCUCCUCUCGGGGAGAACUUAUAGGGGAGACGACAUGCAACCAGCCCGGACUGAGGUCCGCGCAUCUGCUAGGAUGCUGGCGUAAUGGCUGUAAGCGGCCCGUCUUGAAACACGGACCAAGGAGUCUAACAUCUAUGCGAGUGUUUGGGUGUCAAGCCCGAGCGCGUAAUGAAAGUGAACGGAGGUGGGAACCUUUCGGGGUGCACCAUCGACCGAUCCUGAUGUCUUCGGAUGGAUUUGAGUAAGAGCAUAGCUGUUGGGACCCGAAAGAUGGUGAACUAUGCUUGAAUAGGGUGAAGCCAGAGGAAACUCUGGUGGAGGCUCGCAGCGGUUCUGACGUGCAAAUCGAUCGUCAAAUUUGGGCAUAGGGGCGAAAGACUAAUCGAACUAUCUAGUAGCUGGUUCCUGCCGA